This 22-nucleotide microRNA is filed under the name Cordylochernes scorpioides. Lineage: Eukaryota; Metazoa; Arthropoda; Arachnida; Pseudoscorpiones; Chernetidae. The record is from RNAcentral.
UAACUUUAUCUUUGAAUUCUCU